Thalassophryne amazonica is the source of this 74-nucleotide small nucleolar RNA. RefSeq annotates it as small nucleolar RNA SNORD59. The record is from RefSeq and is a predicted model, not a curated record. The transcript has a single exon. NCBI's taxonomy places the organism in Eukaryota, Metazoa, Chordata, Actinopteri, Batrachoidiformes, Batrachoididae.
UCUUCUUUGAUGAUUUGCACAUUGACUUUCGUUCUUCUGAGUCAACUGAAGCCAGCAUUUGUGUUCUGAGAAGA